GAGGAUAUAGCUUAGUGGUAGAGCACAUGUUUAGCAUGCGUGAGGUCCUGGGUUCAACCCCCAGUACCUCCA
Molecule: transfer RNA, 72 nt
Filed under: Camelus bactrianus (Bactrian camel)
Lineage: Eukaryota; Metazoa; Chordata; Mammalia; Artiodactyla; Camelidae
Also listed under: 1 other name
Rfam family: tRNA
About the family: Transfer RNA (tRNA) molecules are approximately 80 nucleotides in length. Their secondary structure includes four short double-helical elements and three loops (D, anti-codon, and T loops).
Source: Rfam by way of RNAcentral